GAGCCCUACCUCCCCUUUCCCUUUCCUCCCCACACCAAACCCUAGCUGCGUCACUCAUGUCUCUCUCUCCUCAUAACCACCGCAUUUUUGGCAAAGUUUCAGAUAAGAAAAAGUCUUUGACAGGUCUGUAUGGCCAUUUGAAGCAAAGCAUUUAUGAUUUCCACUCUAUUUCACCAAACGCCACCCAAACGCGUUUGGGGAUUUUAAGGAGCAAAGGAUCUUCAAGGUUCAUUCUCGACUCAAGGCUGCACCUGGAAGAGGUAAUCUUCUUUCCAUUUUAUUUUUCUUGUGUUUUUUCAGUUCUUUUGUUUAGCUAUCUGUGUUUAUGUGUUUAUAUGCUAAGUUUGGUUUAUGUUUAGUUAAAUAUGCUUCUGUGUUAGUUAAUUUAGUUCAUAUAGUUAAAGUAGUCUUUUGUAUGUUAAUUUUAGUUUAGUUGGUUUAGUCUUUAUAUUAAUUUAAGCUUAAUCUGUCUUAGUAUGUCCCAUGUGUUAGCUUAGCCUCUUUAAACUAAAGUAUGUUCUUAUGUGUUAGUUUUGUUCUAGUAAAACAUGUCUAUACACUGCCUUAAUCCAGUUUUGAUUAGUUUUUGAUCAUUAUGAAGUGGUAUUCAAUUCUAGAACUUAUUUGUGAAAUACCUAAUAAUCUGAUCCCUGCCUAUUAUUCCUUUAAUAUAUGAUGCAGUGUUUUUAUGGUCUUAUUGAGUUUAUGUGCUAUGUUAGAUGUAAUGUUAAAUGCAAGCUUGUUUUGUUCCAUAUUGUUUCUGUUAAAGUUAUUCUAUCUAGGGUGUUUAACUCCUACCCCAUGUCUUGCUAACUUAAGUCUCUUUUGACUAACGGAUUGAUGAUAUACCUAUAUGUUUCAAUCCUGUACAUUAGGGAUCAUGCUAAUCUUUGCCUAUUAUCUAAAUAUGAGCCUAUAUGAUCUACUACUGUGUUACUUGAUGAGUACUGAACUUGGUUUUGAUACCUAAGCCUACUAUGCAUGAUUAACAUGUAUUUGACUGUUUUGUUGACUGUUUGUGUUACCCUAUCACUCAUGAAUGCUAGACUUUACCUCUCUAAUCUAAAUGUACACUAGACAUGACUAUAAGCCUUUUGGUUUUGACAACAUGGCUAGCAUAUUCAACCCCUCUUUGAUUUGGACUAGUACGCAAACUAAUGUUAAUAUUUGAAGCAUGCCUACACUAGUUUAAAGUUGAAUCUAGGGCUAUUUAUGACCCAUAUUGUUUGGUGUACCACACUGUUGCUUCUGUGAUGUAUUGUUGGAGUCAAAAAAUGCUAUUGCUUUGUUUAGAGAUAUGUAGGGGAUAGUGGUAUGGAACCUCUUUAUUCACUAGACCAAAAAACUGUGUCUGUUGAGGCUGAGAUGACUUUGAUUUGAUUUGAAAAAAUGACUCAAACCCUUUGCAUGCUCCUUAAUGGCUCUGUUUAAAAUUGUGAAAGUCUAUUCUAUGUGUUUGGCUGUUGGUUAGUAGUAUGAGUCUCAGAAUAUGUUUUAAAAAAGGGUUAAAAGCAUUAUGAACUCAGUGUUAGCACCUUUGAACUUGUGUAAAUAAUCUUUUGAAUCUGGCAAAGCAUUUGAGAUUCCCUAUGGAUAAAACAUGCUAUGCAUAUACUAUAUGAUCACCCUUUGGACCUCUUCACACCCCCCCCCCCUCCGCCCCCGCUUUAACUGGGAGCAUUUUAUGAGUAAAGAGUGCAUCUUCACAUGAUACAUGUUUGCAUUUGUAGUAGACAUGACCCUGGAUUCUAAAAUGAAUUUUGUCAAAACAAAAGAUGGAGUGCUGCUGUUUGUUUUUGCCUAUCCGUGUCCAUGCUAAGUGUCUCAUAUCUAUAACUUUGUACAUUUGUUAGCCUCUGUUCACGUUCAUUAAACUAGGAGUUGGUCAUAAAAUAUGGACUUAAGUGGAAUUUGAAAAUGGAUAAAGCUCUAGCUUAAGGUAUUGUGUUUUGUACUAGCGAGCAUACUGAUAAGACCUGCUUGCAUUCUUUGUCUACUUGGGUUUAUGUCCAUGUUUUAAAAUAAUUCUAUAGCAUUUUCUUAAUUGAGUCUAUGUAUACUAUGUAUAUCUUGAGAUCUGUUUCGUAUAUGCUGCCCCUUUCCCGAACCUGUUAUGACUUUAUUUUUUGAUCAAAAUAUGAAACAUGCAUAAGUCUUAACAUAUGAUUGAUUUUGUGUGUGGAUAUGCUUGUGUACAAGCUAUACCCAGUCUCACAUAUACUUCAGAGUAUAUGAGUUUGGUAUACCUGUGUAUACAUGGCAUAUCACUCUUUACUUGGUUGUGAUAAUCUACUCUUCUUAAUUUUUGAGCCUUCCCUUCCUCUUCCUGUGGUGGGCCUCUAUGUGUACAAUAGGCUUAAUUCCGAAAUUCGGCCCAGUUUGGCUAUUCUUGUUUAGUCACUCAUUUGCGCCGUGAACUGUUUGUCUUAGCUGAAUUAAAACUUAAUCUUCUUACUUGUUUAUGUGAUGGUUUUGAGCCUUCCGUCUUUUGGAUUAUGAAAUUUUGCAUUACUAAAUAUCUAGACCCAUACUAAUCCUUAUCAUUUUGUUGUGAUUAUGUGACUUUCCUCGGGCCACUUGGGCUGUGUCCUUGCAUAAACCUGUUGGGCUAAAGGCCUAAUUAUCUUAGUCGAUCGAGUCCGUGUGAGAAAAAUGGCAAGUGAAGCUAAUAUAUAUUGAAGGCCCAACCAUGGGUGAAAAUAGUGAAGGCCUAGCUAUGGGUGAAAAUAGCAAACUGGUGGGCUUAGGUAGGCCCACCAGCCUAAACCUCCCUCUUAAAUUCAUUAUUUGUGUAAAAAUUAUAUUUGUAAAAACGCUUGAUGAUUAUUGGAACCCAUUAUGUAUGUUAGAACUUAGGAAAACACUCAGUAGUUUAGGUAAGUCGUCAAAACAAAUCAAUUUUCAAAUAUGGCUAAUAAUCU
This is a long non-coding RNA of Lycium barbarum (goji berry), 2921 nucleotides long. RefSeq lists it as uncharacterized. The record is from RefSeq and is a predicted model, not a curated record. Lineage: Eukaryota; Viridiplantae; Streptophyta; Magnoliopsida; Solanales; Solanaceae. The transcript is spliced from 2 exons.